CUCCCACUCCUCUCCCUCCUUGUUUUUCCAUGACGGGCCAGAUAUCGAGGAGGGGAGAACAGAGGACAACACUGCAGGACAAGGACAAACUCAUCAGUCGUCUCCAGGAUUGUCUCACUAUCCGCCAGACAGCAGUGUGUCUGUCACUUCUAGCCAGUCUUGUGUUCCUCUGGUGUGGAAGAGGUAUUGAUUUGGAAUCAGUCCUCCCCUGUCCUCCUCCAGGCUCAGGAUGAGACGCAGGCUGUGUCCCAACAUGGCACCCUAUUCUCUCCUACCUCGUCUCACUUCUCUCCUUGCUCUAGAUCAGAACAGGGUGCCAUUUGGCACGGAGCCUGAGCCACACAGUGAUGAACAACCUCUGUGGUGAUUCUCUCCUCCAAUCAGCAUCGGGGGGAGAGAGUUGUUGAGGUUCUGUUGUGACAACAAGGGAUGGCAGGGUCGAGGUUCUGUUGUGACAACAAGGGAUGGCAGGGUCGAGGUUCUGUUGUGACAACAAGGGAUGGCAGGGUAGAGGUUCUGUUGUGACAUCAAGGGAUGGCAGGGUAGAGGUUCUGUUGUGACAACAAGGGAUGGCAGGGUAGAGGUUCUGUUGUGACAACAAGGGAUGGCAGGGUAGAGGUUCUGUUGUGACAUCAAGGGAUGGCAGGGUAGAGGUUCUGUUGUGACAACAAGGGAUGGCAGGGUAGAGGUUCUGUUGUGACAACAAGGGAUGGCAGGGUAGAGGUUCUGUUGUGACAUCAAGGGAUGGCAUGGUCGAGGUUCUGUUGUGACGUGACACAACAAGGGAUGGCAGGGUCGAGGUUCUGUUGUGACGUGACACAACAAGGGAUGGCAGGGUAGAGGUUCUGUUGUGACAACAAGGGAUGGCAGGGUCGAGGUUCUGUUGUGACAUCAAGGGAUGGCAGGGUAGAGGUUCUGUUGUGACAUCAAGGGAUGGCAGGGUAGAGGUUCUGUUGUGACAACAAGGGAUGGCAGGGUAGAGGUUCUGUUGUGACAACAAGGGAUGGCAGGGUAGAGGUUCUGUUGUGACAACAAGGGAUGGCAGGGUAGAGGUUCUGUUGUGACAACAAGGGAUGGCAGGGUAGAGGUUCUGUUGUGACAACAAGGGAUGGCAGGGUAGAGGUUCUGUUGUGACAUCAAUGGAUGGCAGGGUAGAGGUUCUGUUGUGACAACAAGGGAUGGCAGGGUAGAGGUUCUGUUGUGAC
This is a non-coding RNA of Oncorhynchus mykiss (rainbow trout), 1205 nucleotides long. The record is from RefSeq and is a predicted model, not a curated record. NCBI's taxonomy places the organism in Eukaryota, Metazoa, Chordata, Actinopteri, Salmoniformes, Salmonidae.